GUGUGGCGUCUCUCUGAACCCCCCGACCAUCCGAGCUUCCAGACUUCUCCGACAAUGAGUUUCUCCAUCCAUCUACCGUGCCGCUCCAAAGGCUCUCUAGGCCUCACCGUUAGCCGACCUUCUAUAGUGACCAACUAUUCUCCGAACUCCUUCUGGACUCUGUCGAUAUCCGAACUUCUUCGACAAUGAGGUUUCUAUAGAGAUCAGACUCCAUCCGAGUUUCUACGG
RNAcentral lists this long non-coding RNA (228 nucleotides) under Elaeis guineensis (African oil palm). RNAcentral describes it as "long non-coding RNA (EGUI_LNC063358)". The record is from RNAcentral. Lineage: Eukaryota; Viridiplantae; Streptophyta; Magnoliopsida; Arecales; Arecaceae.